This 1716-nucleotide ribosomal RNA is filed under the name Bursaphelenchus corneolus. RNAcentral describes it as "SSU rRNA". It matches the Rfam family "Eukaryotic small subunit ribosomal RNA". The record is from RNAcentral. Lineage: Eukaryota; Metazoa; Nematoda; Chromadorea; Rhabditida; Aphelenchoididae.
AUGCAUGUCUAAGUGGAGUAUUAUAUAGCGAAACUGCGAACGGCUCAUUACAACAGAUAUAAUUUACUAGUUCUUGAUCCUAUAUGGAUAACUGCGGUAAUUCUGGAGCCAAUACAUGCAACAAGCCCCGGCUCUUCUGGGUUCGGGGUGCAAUUAUUGGAGCAAAACCAGUCUUGAACUGUUUGCUAACUCUGGAUAAUUCUGCUUAUCGCAUGGUCUCGUACCGGCGAAGUUUCUUUCAAGUAUCUGCUUUAUCAACUAUCGUUGGUAGUUUAUUGGACUACCAUGGUGUUGACGGGUAACGGAGAAUCAGGGUUUGACUCCGGAGAGGGAGCCUUAGAAACGGCUACCAUGUCUAAGGAUAGCAGCAGGCGCGAAAAUUACCCAAUACCAACGCGGUGAGGUAGUGACGAGAAAUAACGAGAUCGUUCUCUUUGAGGUCGAUUAUUGGAAUGAGUACAAUCCAGAAAUUUUAACGAGUAUCUACGAGAGGGCAAGUCUGGUGCCAGCAGCCGCGGUAAUUCCAGCUCUCGUAAUGUAUAGAAUUAUUGUUGCGAUUAAAAAGUUCGUAGUUGGAUUGUCACGCGGGCAUGGGUCCAGCUUCGUGUUGCGUACUCAAUGCCCGCAUUUUGUUGGUUUUCGCGGCGUCGAUUCGUCGGCGUUCGUGAUGCCAGCAGGAUUACUUUGAACGGCUCAAGUGCUUAACGCGAGUCUUAUGACUGAAUACCGGUGCAUGGAAUAAUGGAACAGGGUUGCGGCCGAGUUUUAUUGGUUUUGUCGGCUGAAACAAUGGUUAACAGGAACAGCCGGGGGCAUUCGUAUCGCUGCGCGGGAGGUGAAAUUCGUGGACCGUAGCGAGACGCCCGACAGCGAAGGCAUUUGCCAAGAGUGUUUUCAUUAAUCAAGAACGAAAGUCAGAGGUUCGAAGGCGAUUAGAUACCGCCCUAGUUCUGACCGUAAACGAUGCCAACUGUCGAUCCGCUUGUGGAUUUUAUUCAUAAGCGGGGAGAUUCCCGGAAACGAAAGUUUUUCGGUUUCGGGGGAAGUAUGGUUGCAAAGCUGAAACUUAAAGGAAUUGACGGAAGGGCACCACCAGGAGUGGAGCUUGCGGCUUAAUUUGACUCAACACGGGAAAUCUCACCCGGCCAGUACAUCGUGAGGAUUGACAGACUGACAGCUCUUUCAUGAUUCGGUGAAUGGUGGUGCAUGGCCGUUCUUAGUUCGUGGAUUGAUUUGUCAGGUUUAUUCCGAUAACGAGCGAGACUUUAACUAUUAAAUAGUGCGUUUGUUGCUUUCCAGCUGCGAACGAACACUUCUUAAAGGGAUUUGUGGUCUCCAACCUCAAGAAAUUGAGCAAUAACAGGUCUGUGAUGCCCUUAGAUGUUCGGGGCCGCACGCGUGCUACAAUGGUGGUAACAGCGUGAUUGUCCUCGCCCGACAGGGCUUGGCAAACAGUUGAGAUAUUAUUAUGGCUGGAAUUGAGUGUUGAAAUUUUCUCUCAUGAACGAGGAAUUCCAAGUAAAUGUGAGUCAUUAACUUGCAUUGAUUACGUCCCUGCCCUUUGUACACACCGCCCGUCGCUGCCCGGGACUGAGUUACUUCGAGAAAACUAGGGAUCGUUGACGUUCGAUGUUUCGGCAUUGGCUUUAAUGCGAACUAGUUUAAUCGCAGUGGCUUGAACCGGGCAAAAGUCGUAACAAGGUAGCCGUAGGUGAA